RNAcentral lists this ribosomal RNA (253 nucleotides) under uncultured bacterium. RNAcentral describes it as "partial 16S ribosomal RNA". It matches the Rfam family "Bacterial small subunit ribosomal RNA", at positions 524 to 776 of the family's 1533-position model. The record is from RNAcentral.
UACGUAGGGUGCAAGCGUUGUCCGGAAUUAUUGGGCGUAAAGAGCUCGUAGGCGGUUUGUCGCGUCUGCUGUGAAAACUCGGGGCUUAACUCCGGGCCUGCAGUGGAUACGGGCAGACUAGAGUGCGGUAGGGGAGACUGGAAUUCCUGGUGUAGCGGUGAAAUGCGCAGAUAUCAGGAGGAACACCGAUGGCGAAGGCAGGUCUCUGGGCAUUAACUGACGCUGAGGAGCGAAAGCAUGGGGAGCGAACAGG